CGGACGGGUGAGUAACGCGUGAGUAACCUGCCUUUCAGAGGGGGAUAACGUUCUGAAAAGAACGCUAAUACCGCAUGAGACUACAGAGCUGCAUGGCUCAGUGGUCAAAGGAGCAAUCCGCUGAAAGAUGGACUCGCGUCCGAUUAGAUAGUAGGCGGGGUAACGGCCCACCUAGUCGACGAUCGGUAGCCGGACUGAGAGGUUGAACGGCCACAUUGGGACUGAGACACGGCCCAAACUCCUACGGGAGGCAGCAUG
Molecule: ribosomal RNA, 258 nt
Filed under: uncultured bacterium
Lineage: Bacteria
Description: partial 16S ribosomal RNA
Rfam family: Bacterial small subunit ribosomal RNA
Source: RNAcentral